This is a long non-coding RNA of Daphnia pulicaria, 1231 nucleotides long. RefSeq lists it as uncharacterized. The record is from RefSeq and is a predicted model, not a curated record. The transcript is spliced from 2 exons. NCBI's taxonomy places the organism in Eukaryota, Metazoa, Arthropoda, Branchiopoda, Diplostraca, Daphniidae.
CAUUACAAUAGCCUCAAAACGUUUUGCCAACCAAAAAUUUUGCACGGUCUUCCUUGUUCACCAAAACUUAACUUCACCGCAAAAGUAGCUAUAACGUCAAACGAACUUGAAUCGGGCUGUUUAUCUUAGUCAAUUCAAUAUAACUCAGUCGGCGAUGUAAUUAUUUCUGUGAAGUUGAAUGUGGCGGCAUACGGGGCAACUUGCUGGUUUAACUCUGCAAAUUAUGGUUAUACUAUGGCAAGAAAUUUCAAGAAUCGCGAGCUCUUAACUAAAACAAGCAAAAGAAACUAGACAGUUAACGAGCGCUGAAAUUCCCAACAGAUCAAACUUAAUUCUUAUAUUUCCUUAUUAAACGUUCAGAAAACACGGAAGUGUGGUGCAGUUUUUUUCCUCUACCGAUCGUUCCAGUCGGUGCCGAAUACUGGCGUAAUUAUUUUUUUAAAUUGCCUGGUUCGUCUGUCUACCAUGACCGUCCGGAUCCAACCGGAUCAACGUGAACAUACUGUAGGCUAUAGCAAGACUCGGACGAGUUUAACCAAGUUUAGAGCCUGCAGCUGAAUUUUAUCGUUCAGCCCUUGGAUAUACUUCAUAAUUUACGCGCAAAUAACCCAAAGCGCCUUGAAGUGGAUCAGUAUAAAAGAGCAAAGGCCUUGUUGAGAAAGCAGUUCGUCCCUGCAGAACAACUAGACAAGUAUUGCAACAGAAAUACUCUGUUCUAUUUUGACGUCUGUUCUUUAAAAACGAAAAUGAAGACGGAAUUGAUAUUACUACUAAUUCAUUUGGUGUCUCUUACAUUGGCUGCUGUUGUUCCAGCAGCUGAUAAUGAAGUCACCGCUGUAGUUAUCACUUCAACCGAACCGGUUGAAUCUGCUGAAUCAAUCGAGUCGCUUGGAAGCAACGAUCCAAAGGUUAUUAGCGGUACGCCGAUAGAAAAGGAUAAAGAAAACGAGUCCGCUGAAUCCACCGAGUCCAUCGUGUCCGCUGAAACAACAGACUCACCUGUAUUAGACAACGAUGUCCUAAAAGCGGCUAAAGCAAGCGUUGCAGAGGCGGCGAUUAAUUCAGCACAUUAGUUGACUUGAUGACUUUACGACGUGGUAGUAACAUUAUUACCACGGGAAACAUUACACUCAAUUCCAAGACGGCAAUCUUUGUAAUUUAUUGGCUAUUCCAAAUACUUCACCCACUAAAGCAAAAUUGUUGAGUGGAGAAAAAUAUAAAUUGUACCGAA